RNAcentral lists this ribosomal RNA (301 nucleotides) under uncultured soil bacterium. RNAcentral describes it as "bacterial SSU rRNA". It matches the Rfam family "Bacterial small subunit ribosomal RNA", at positions 26 to 330 of the family's 1533-position model. The record is from RNAcentral.
AGAUUGAACGCUGGCGGCAGGCCUAACACAUGCAAGUCGAGCGGUAGAGAGGUGCUUGCACCUCUUGAGAGCGGCGGACGGGUGAGUAAAGCCUAGGAAUCUGCCUGGUAGUGGGGGAUAACGCUCGGAAACGGACGCUAAUACCGCAUACGUCCUACGGGAGAAAGCAGGGGACCUUCGGGCCUUGCGCUAUCAGAUGAGCCUAGGUCGAUUAGCUAGUUGGUGAGGUAUGGCUCACCAAGGCGACGAUCCGUAACUGGUCUGAGAGGAUGAUCAGUCACACUGGAACUGACGACACGGU